GAUGGGGGGCUCGGCGCCACAGGAGAGCGGGGUGUGCGUUUUGAGGCUGCCCCCAGGAAGGGCAGACAGUGCUCAGGCAGGCGUGGGAGCAGGAGGAGCUGCUCCAGGGCCACGGGAAGGAGCAAAACAGCCGUCAUGGGUAGCAGCAGCAGCGGGUGGGCAAGCAAAGGUUUGGCGUGGCCGAGAGGACAUGCGGCUGCAGGGCCACGCCGCCUCGCAAUGAAUGGGCUGGGGACCCCCCUGGCAUCAGUCCUGCUGCCCCCCUGUCCGGCAUCACCCGUGCGUGGGGCCGUCAGCCAAGUGGGCGCCCGUCGGUGCUGGCGGCAGGGGCGGUGCGAGGAGCUGGGGACCGCAGGCGGGCUCCCUCCUGCCCCCUGCACGUCCUCUGCUCUCGGCUCUCAGCCCGGCAGCGGGGCUGCUCACUGGUAGCGGGGCUGGCUCUCCAGCACGGGGCCCGUCCUGUACUC
RNAcentral lists this long non-coding RNA (467 nucleotides) under Anas platyrhynchos platyrhynchos (common mallard). RNAcentral's name for it is "lncRNA (ENSAPLG00000021473.1)". Lineage: Eukaryota; Metazoa; Chordata; Aves; Anseriformes; Anatidae. The record is from RNAcentral.